Molecule: long non-coding RNA, 281 nt
Filed under: Cavia porcellus (domestic guinea pig)
Lineage: Eukaryota; Metazoa; Chordata; Mammalia; Rodentia; Caviidae
Description: lncRNA (ENSCPOG00000040712.1)
Source: RNAcentral
CAGGAGUGGGGGCUUCAUCUUUUCUUACAGUGGAGGUGAUGCCUGUUUUGCAGAAGACACAAAUGGAAAGAAACUUCUAUGUGAGUAUUGAUCUCUGCACCAGUGACUGCAGUUUCUGUAUUGCAAGAGCAUCCCAAGUGACAUCUGACCUGCUGUCCUGCAGAGUGAAUGGGUGAAUAUGAAGAAAUCCACCGGACAUAGCAGAUCUUUCCAUUUUUGCUUUACAACUCUAUUACUUGGCAAAGAAAACCAUGGAGGCUCAGCUUCCACGAAGACUUUAA